UACGUAGGUGGCAAGCGUUGUCCGGAUUUACUGGGCGUAAAGAGCGCGCAGGCGGUCGGAUAAGUCGAAUGUGAAAGCCCCCGGCUCAACUGGGGAGGGUCAUUCGAUACUGUUCGACUCGAAGGCAGGAGAGGGAAGUGGAAUUCCCGGUGUAGUGGUGAAAUGCGUAGAUAUCGGAAGGAACACCUGUGGCGAAAGCGGCUCACUGGCCCGGUACUGACGCUGAGGUGCGAAAGCGUGGGGAGCAAACAGG
This 253-nucleotide ribosomal RNA is filed under the name uncultured bacterium. RNAcentral's name for it is "partial 16S ribosomal RNA". It matches the Rfam family "Bacterial small subunit ribosomal RNA", at positions 524 to 776 of the family's 1533-position model. The record is from RNAcentral.